AAACUGGGGAUAAUUCCGGAUAMCGCAUAUGUGCUGGAAUGCUUUAUGCGUAAAAUGGAUUCGUCUGCCCAAGGAUGGGUCUGCGGCCUAUCAGGUAGUAGUGGGUGUAAUGUACCUACUAGCCGACAACGGGUACGGGUUGUGAGAGCAAGAGCCCGGAGAUGGAUUCUGAGACAUGAAUCCAGGCCCUACGGGGCGCAGCAGGCGCGAAAACUUUACAAUGCGGGAAACCGUGAUAAGGGGACACCGAGUGUCAGCAUCAUAUGCUGGCUGUCCAGGUGUGUAAAAUACACCUGUUAGCAAGGGCCGGGCAAGACCGGUGCCAGCCGCCGCGGUAACACCGGCGGCCCGAGUGGUGAUCGUGAUUAUUGGGUCUAAAGGGUCCGUAGCCGGUUUGGUCAGUCCUCCGGGAAAUCUGACGGCUCAACCGUUAGGCUUUCGGGGGAUACUGCCAGGCUUGGAACCGGGAGAGGUAAGAGGUACUACAGGGGUAGGAGUGAAAUCUUGUAAUCCCUGUGAGACCACCUGUGGCGAAGGCGUCUUACCAGAACGGGUUCGACGGUGAGGGACGAAAGCUGGGGGCACGAACCGGAUUAGAUACCCGGGUAGUCCCAGCCGUAAACGAUGCUCGCUAGGUGUCAGGCAUGGCGCGACCGUGUCUGGUGCCGCAGGGAAGCCGUGAAGCGAGCCAC
RNAcentral lists this ribosomal RNA (692 nucleotides) under uncultured euryarchaeote. RNAcentral describes it as "bacterial SSU rRNA". It matches the Rfam family "Archaeal small subunit ribosomal RNA", at positions 137 to 827 of the family's 1478-position model. The record is from RNAcentral. Lineage: Archaea; Methanobacteriati; Methanobacteriota.